This 701-nucleotide ribosomal RNA is filed under the name Shigella sp. Its description in RNAcentral is "bacterial SSU rRNA". It matches the Rfam family "Bacterial small subunit ribosomal RNA", at positions 40 to 734 of the family's 1533-position model. Lineage: Bacteria; Pseudomonadati; Pseudomonadota; Gammaproteobacteria; Enterobacterales; Enterobacteriaceae. The record is from RNAcentral.
CGGCAGGCCUAACACAUGCAAGUCGAACGGUAACAGGAAGCAGCUUGCUUCUUGCUGACGAGUGGCGGACGGGUGAGUAAUGUCUGGGAAACUGCCUGAUGGAGGGGGAUAACUACUGGAAACGGUAGCUAAUACCGCAUAACGUCGCAAGACCAAAGAGGGGGACCUUCGGGCCUCUUGCCAUCGGAUGUGCCCAGAUGGGAUUAGCUUGUGGUGGGGUAACGGCUCACCAGGCGACGAUCCCUAGCUGGUCUGAGAGGAUGACCAGCCACACUGGAACUGAGACACGGUCCAGACUCCUACGGGAGGCAGCAGUGGGGAAUAUUGCACAAUGGGCGCAAGCCUGAUGCAGCCAUGCCGCGUGUAUGAAGAAGGCCUUCGGGUUGUAAAGUACUUUCAGCGGGGAGGAAGGGAGUAAAGUUAAUACCUUUGCUCAUUGACGUUACCCGCAGAAGAAGCACCGGCUAACUCCGUGCCAGCAGCCGCGGUAAUACGGAGGGUGCAAGCGUUAAUCGGAAUUACUGGGCGUAAAGCGCACGCAGGCGGUUUGUUAAGUCAGAUGUGAAAUCCCCGGGCUCAACCUGGGAACUGCAUCUGAUACUGGCAAGCUUGAGUCUCGUAGAGGGGGGUAGAAUUCCAGGUGUAGCGGUGAAAUGCGUAGAGAUCUGGAGGAAUACCGGUGGCGAAGGCGGCCCCCUGAC